RNAcentral lists this ribosomal RNA (1012 nucleotides) under Collinsella aerofaciens. Its description in RNAcentral is "partial 23S ribosomal RNA". It matches the Rfam family "Bacterial large subunit ribosomal RNA", at positions 1 to 1006 of the family's 2925-position model. Lineage: Bacteria; Bacillati; Actinomycetota; Coriobacteriia; Coriobacteriales; Coriobacteriaceae. The record is from RNAcentral.
GUUGAUAAGGUUAAGUGAAUAAGGGCGCACGGUGGAUGCCUUGGCACUAGGAGCCGAUGAAGGACGGGACUAACACCGAUAUGCUUUGGGGAGCUGUACGUAAGCUAUGAUCCAGAGAUUUCCGAAUGGGGGAACCCAGCAUCUUUUAUAGGAUGUUACGUAUACGUGAAUACAUAGCGUAUACGAGGUAGACGCAGAGAACUGAAACAUCUAAGUACCUGCAGGAAGAGAAAGAAAAUUCGAUUCCCUGAGUAGCGGCGAGCGAAACGGGAAAAGCCCAAACCAAUGAGCUUGCUCAUUGGGGUUGUAGGACUCCGAUAUGGUAGUUCUUUCAGAUAGUCGAAUGACUUGGAAAAGUCAGUCAAAGAGGGUGAAAGCCCCGUAGAUGAAAUUUGGAAGGCACCUAGGAGGAUCCUGAGUACGGCGGAACACGAGGAAUUCCGUCGGAAUCCGGGAGGACCAUCUCCCAAGGCUAAAUACUCCCUAGUGACCGAUAGUGAACCAGUACCGUGAGGGAAAGGUGAAAAGCACCCCGGAAGGGGAGUGAAAUAGAACCUGAAACCGUGUGCCUACAACAAGUCAAAGCCCGUUAAUGGGUGAUGGCGUGCCUUUUGUAGAAUGAACCGGCGAGUUACGAUUGCAUGCGAGGUUAAGUUGAAGAGACGGAGCCGUAGCGAAAGCGAGUCUGAAUAGGGCGUUUGAGUAUGUAGUCGUAGACCCGAAACCAUGUGAUCUACCCAUGUCCAGGUUGAAGGUGCGGUAAAACGCACUGGAGGACCGAACCCACGUACGUUGAAAAGUGCGGGGAUGAGGUGUGGGUAGCGGAGAAAUUCCAAACGAACUUGGAGAUAGCUGGUUCUCUCCGAAAUAGCUUUAGGGCUAGCCUCGGAAUUGAGAAUGAUGGAGGUAGAGCACUGUUUGGACUAGGGGCCCAUCUCGGGUUACCGAAUUCAGAUAAACUCCGAAUGCCAUUCAUUCAUAUCCGGGAGUCAGACUGUGAGUGAUAAGAUCC